Molecule: long non-coding RNA, 255 nt
Organism: Pleuronectes platessa (European plaice)
Lineage: Eukaryota; Metazoa; Chordata; Actinopteri; Pleuronectiformes; Pleuronectidae
Exons: 3
Source: RefSeq, a predicted model, not a curated record
CUCAUCUCCAGCCGCCUCACCGUCACCCCCAUCUGCAACAGUGUGUGUCCCUUCAGACAUUUUGGAAACAGUGGUACACAACAUUUGGGCUGGGAAAAAGCCGGAGGUGUUGUGGAGCAAAGCAGGCCCUUACAAACUGUUUACACGGAACCUCCAGGAACACCUUCGUCCAGAUGCACUUGUGCAAAGUGAAAUCAUCAAUGCAUACCUAACGAUUGCGCUGAGUAAUUUCUCAGAGGCAGGCAGAGGCAGGGG